GCAAGUGGCGGCGUGCUUACACAUGCAGUCGUACCAUGGAUAGACCGUGCUUGCUGGGCGGAUUAGUGGCGAACGGGUGAGUAAUACGUGAGUAACCUGCCCUUGACUCUGGGAUAAGCCUGGGAAACUGGGUCUAAUACUGGAUACUACCUCUUACCGCAUGGUGGGUGGUGGAAAGGGUUUUACUGGUUUUGGAUGGGCUCACGGCCUAUCAGCUUGUUGGUGGGGUAAUGGCUCACCAAGGCGACGACGGGUAGCCGGCCUGAGAGGGUGACCGGCCACACUGGGACUGAGACACGGCCCAGACUCCUACGGGAGGCAGCAGUGGGGAAUAUUGCACAAUGGGCGGAAGCCUGAUGCAGCGACGCCGCGUGAGGGAUGACGGCCUUCGGGUUGUAAACCUCUUUCAGUAGGGAAGAAGCGAGAGUGACGGUACCUGCAGAAGAAGCGCCGGCUAACUACGUGCCAGCAGCCGCGGUAAUACGUAGGGCGCAAGCGUUGUCCGGAAUUAUUGGGCGUAAAGAGCUCGUAGGCGGUUUGUCGCGUCUGCUGUGAAAGCCCGGGGCUCAACCCCGGGUCUGCAGUGGGUACGGGCAGACUAGAGUGCAGUAGGGGAGACUGGAAUUCCUGGUGUAGCGGUGAAAUGCGCAGAUAUCAGGAGGAACACCGAUGGCGAAGGCAGGUCUCUGGGCUGUUACUGACGCUGAGGAGCGAAAGCAUGGGGAGCGAACAGGAUUAGAUACCCUGGUAGUCCAUGCCGUAAACGUUGGGCACUAGGUGUGGGGGACAUUCCACGUUUUCCGCGCCGUAGCUAACGCAUUAAGUGCCCCGCCUGGGGAGUACGGCCGCAAGGCUAAAACUCAAAGGAAUUGACGGGGGCCCGCACAAGCGGCGGAGCAUGCGGAUUAAUUCGAUGCAACGCGAAGAACCUUACCAAGGCUUGACAUUCACCGGACCGCCCCAGAGAUGGGGUUUCCCUUCGGGGCUGGUGGACAGGUGUGCAUGGUUGUCGUCAGCUCGUGUCGUGAGAUGUUGGGGUAAGUCCGCACGAGCGCAACCCUCGUUCUAUGUUGCAGCACGUGAUGGUGGGACUCAUAGAGACUGCUGGUUCACUCGAGAGUGGGAUGACGUCAUCAUCAUGCCCUAUGUCUGGCUCCGCAUGCUACAUGACGUUCAAAGGUUCAUCUGAGGUGGACUAUCAAGCCGAUUCAGUUCGGAUGAGGCUCUGUCACU
Molecule: ribosomal RNA, 1233 nt
Filed under: Kocuria sp. NHM4
Lineage: Bacteria; Bacillati; Actinomycetota; Actinomycetes; Micrococcales; Micrococcaceae
Description: bacterial SSU rRNA
Rfam family: Bacterial small subunit ribosomal RNA
Source: RNAcentral